GAGCACGACAUUUUCAAAGGGUAGGUAGAAAAUGUAAAACUACUGACUAAAAGUAGAUUUUAGUACUCUGUGUCCCUUUUACCAGGCCUGUCCCAUUUCUCCUUAGAUAACCCAAUUUGUUUUGUAUCACCUGAAACAUAAACCUCUUCAAUGAGCUGUUUUAGAGCACUCCAGCACAACUGCAGAUUUCUGAUACCUGAAGCAGUGCAAUCAAAUGUUACUCCCAGUAUGGCACCGGGAAUCUACAAUUGAUAUGUCACUCAGCUUGAAAACAUCAGUGUUUUGUCCUUGCUUUGGUGGGAUAAAAACGCCUCUUAUCUUAAGCCCUGGGGACAAAUGUGACCAACCCCCAGGAUUUUAUCUUGAGUGUCUUUGGCACUUCUUUUGGCACUGAAAUAAUGUUUGGAUAAAAAUAGUUGAAUAUACAGUGUCUGGUUUUAUAUUUGCUUGUUCUUAUCUGAGUUUUCCCUUGUAGACAUGAACUUUCACUCUGAAGGAGGUCAUCCUUUAGGAGUAUUUAAACCCCCAAAAGCCCUCACCUUGGGAAAGGUUCAUAUCUAGGGACCAGAGACUGUUGCUCAGGGAAUUAGUAAUAGGACCUGGACAUCUGAUCUGCGGGUGUCAAGUCUAGUUCAGUUCAUGUUAUAGGGAACUUAGUUACACAUCAUCACCAGUCCAGGGGUCAGGUGGAAAGAAGUGGCUGACACUUUUCAUUUGCCAGUGCCCCACAGGUAUAGAAAUAAUAGAGUAUUCAUUUAGCAUUGAUUAUCGUUCUAAAAAAAAAUCCAAAGUGUGCUAAUAAUUCCUUAUUGUUAUAAUGGAUUCACAGUAGGCUUUAGCUAAAUAGCAAACUCCUCUGGGACUCCUAAAUUAUGACAUAAUUAACAAACUUUGAUUUUCAAGAAGUUGUUUAUGACAGCUAUUGCCUGGACUACAGGACACCAGCCAAGAUGAGGGCAGGGGUAGAUACAGGCUCACUGGAGUGGUGAAUUAACUUGUGUUGUCAUGACCACUUCUUCAACAAAGAUGCUAGGGAGAAGACCAGAGAGACUGGGACCGGGUCUUACUCAAGGAAAAUUUAUUUAACAAUCACUUUUGUGUUGAAAGAACUUUGCAUUUCUGGAUUUAGAAUCCAGUAUCAGUCCAGCGAGUUCAGUAAGGAAACCAUCUGUCUCUAUCUGAUGGAGCCAUAACUGUGCAGAGAUGUGGCCAGGGGUCUUUUGUGUUCUCUCUUAUUAGUUAAUACCGCACUUUGUAAGCAGGAGGGGCAGUUUGGCUGGUUAGCAAAGUCCACAGUCACUAGAUAGGUAUGACAAAGUCUGAGUGUGACUUCUUGCAUAAACGGGGUGGUGGGCUUUAUUGAGAUGUUUCAAAUAUGUGAAUGAAUGAAUUACACUACCAGCAACCAUCUGCCCAAGUACAUUUGUAUACAUUCAUAAGGUGUACCCUGUGAAGCCUCUUCUCAUUGUAACAUCAGUAACAAAGUUAGAGUCUUUAUAAGGGGCAUGGUGUACCUGGUAUCCAAGUUAUUUUGUUCUCUUUUGGGUCUCCAGUUCCAAUGAACUGUAAAACAUUUUACAUGUUACAUUUUUUAUACUGUAAAACUUGGAAAAUAAACUGAAAUCCC
RNAcentral lists this long non-coding RNA (1627 nucleotides) under Bos taurus (domestic cattle). RNAcentral's name for it is "long non-coding RNA NONBTAT030353". Lineage: Eukaryota; Metazoa; Chordata; Mammalia; Artiodactyla; Bovidae. The record is from RNAcentral.